This 427-nucleotide ribosomal RNA is filed under the name uncultured bacterium. RNAcentral describes it as "bacterial SSU rRNA". It matches the Rfam family "Bacterial small subunit ribosomal RNA", at positions 355 to 774 of the family's 1533-position model. The record is from RNAcentral.
UGGGGAAUUUUGGACAAUGGGCGCAAGCCUGAUCCAGCAAUGCCGCGUGCAGGAUGAAGGCCUUCGGGUUGUAAACUGCUUUUGUACGGAGCGAAAAGGUCUGCCCUAAUACGGUGGGCUCAUGACGGUACCGUAAGAAUAAGCACCGGCUAACUACGUGCCAGCAGCCGCGGUAAUACGUAGGGUGCGAGCGUUAAUCGGAAUUACUGGGCGUAAAGCGUGCGCAGGCGGUUAUAUAAGACAGAUGUGAAAUCCCCGGGCUCAACCUGGGACCUGCAUUUGUGACUGUAUAGCUAGAGUACGGUAGAGGGGGAUGGAAUUCCACGUGUAGCAGUGAAAUGCGUAGAUAUGCGGAGGAACGCCGAUGGCGAAGGCAAUCCCCUGGACCUGUACUGACGCUCAUGCACGAAAGCGUGGGGAGCAAACA